GACGAACGCUGGCGGCGUGCUUAACACAUGCCAGUCGAACGCUGAAGCUCAGCUUUUGUUGGGUGGAUGAGUGGCGAACGGGUGAGUAACACGUGAGUAACCUGCCUCCUUCUUUGGGAUAACGCCCGGAAACGGGUGCUAAUACUGGAUAUUCACUGGUCUUCGCAUGGGGGUUGGUGGAAAGGGUUUUUCUGGUGGGGGAUGGGCUCGCGGCCUAUCAGCUUGUUGGUGGGGUGAUGGCCUACCAAGGCUUUGACGGGUAGCCGGCCUGAGAGGGUGACCGGUCACAUUGGGACUGAGAUACGGCCCAGACUCCUACGGGAGGCAGCAGGGGGGAAUAUUGCACAAUGGGCGCAAGCCUGAUGCAGCGACGCCGCGUGAGGGAUGGAGGCCUUCGGGUUGUGAACCUCUUUCGCUCAUGGUCAAGCCGCAACAAUGGUUGUGGUGAGGGUAGUGGGUAAAGAAGCGCCGGCUAACUACGUG
This 483-nucleotide ribosomal RNA is filed under the name uncultured bacterium. RNAcentral's name for it is "partial 16S ribosomal RNA". It matches the Rfam family "Bacterial small subunit ribosomal RNA", at positions 28 to 507 of the family's 1533-position model. The record is from RNAcentral.